Molecule: long non-coding RNA, 235 nt
Filed under: Eucalyptus grandis
Lineage: Eukaryota; Viridiplantae; Streptophyta; Magnoliopsida; Myrtales; Myrtaceae
Description: long non-coding RNA (EGRA_LNC006629)
Source: RNAcentral
AUCAACAGGACGUGGCUCAAGAUUAGGUCAAUGACAACUGUUGGUGGAGGGAAGACUCAUAUGCCUACGAAGGAUACCAGUGGAGGGAAGACUCAUAUGCCUACGAAGGAUACCAGUGGAGGGAAGACUCAUAUGCCUACGAAGGAUACCAGGCACGAUCAGUUUGCGGAUUAUAUUACCCGAGCCAAGAAGAAGUUCCAAAAAGUUUCAACCAUGCGUGGUGGUGGUGGUGGUG